This 252-nucleotide ribosomal RNA is filed under the name uncultured prokaryote. RNAcentral describes it as "partial 16S ribosomal RNA". It matches the Rfam family "Bacterial small subunit ribosomal RNA", at positions 524 to 775 of the family's 1533-position model. The record is from RNAcentral.
UACGUAGGGUGCGAGCGUUAAUCGGAAUUACUGGGCGUAAAGUGUGCGCAGGCGGCGUCGCAAGUCGAGUGUGAAAGCCCCGGGCUUAACUUGGGAAUUGCGCUCGAGACUACGGUGCUGGAGUAUGGCAGAGGAAGGUGGAAUUCCACGUGUAGCGGUGAAAUGCGUAGAGAUGUGGAGGAACACCGAUGGCGAAGGCAGCCUUCUGGGCCAAUACUGACGCUCAUGCACGAAAGCGUGGGGAGCAAACAG